This 1202-nucleotide long non-coding RNA is filed under the name Macaca mulatta (Rhesus monkey). RNAcentral's name for it is "lncRNA (ENSMMUG00000056676.1)". Lineage: Eukaryota; Metazoa; Chordata; Mammalia; Primates; Cercopithecidae. The record is from RNAcentral.
GAAAUGUAAAGACCAACGUGGCCCUGCAGGAGUUUAUAAUCCAGGUGCUGGAGGAAAGUAAGGCAGGUACUCAAGUUAGUAUAAUCCAAGGCAGAAUAUGAUUAGUGAAAUGUGAUAUAGUAAUGAUACCUGACAUUGUGUGUGUGUGUGUGUGUGUGUGUGUGUGUGUGUGGGUGGGUGGGUGGGUGUGUGUAUAGUAACUUACACAGUAUUUUUUCAUGUAUUUUUUUUUUGGCUCCAUAAUGAUCUUUCGGUUAAGAUAGAAAUAAUCAGUCUCAUUUUACAAAUGUAGACAUUGACACACUUGUCUAAGGUGAAGCCCCUAUGAAAGGAUGGAGUAUAGAUUUAAAUCCAAGUCAUCAGUCUCCUGAGUCCAGUGUGUUCUUGGUUAUAUCAUUCUGCCUUCCUCGGUGGUGUUUUCUCCUGUGCUUUUCACGGUAGCCCUGCGUCUCAGCCAGUAUUUCCAUUUUAACAGCAUGACUCUCUUUGGUCUUACUGUAGUAUUUGUACAGUUAACUUGAAUUUUAAAAAUUUGGAGCCAGGCAUGGUGGUUCACACCUGUAAUCCUAGUACUCUGGGAGGCCGAGGCGAGCGGAUUGCUUGAUCUCAGGAGUUCGAGACCAGACUGGGGAACAUGACGAAACCCCAUCUCUACCCAAAAUACAAAAAUUAGCUGGGCAUGGUGGCGUGCUCCUGUACUCCCAGCUACUUGCAGGCCUGAGGCAGGAGGACCACUUGAACCUGGGAGGUUGAGAAGGCUGCAGUGAGCUGAGACUGUGCCACUGCACUCCAGCCUAAGUGACAAAGAGACCGUGUCUCAAAAAAAAAAAAUUGUUGGUUUCCUAAGGUUUCCGUUGGUGGAUCGCAUGUAUUACUGUUAUGGAAAACAUUCCAUUUCAACGGCUUUCCCUCCCCAUGUGCUACAUACUAAAUCAGUGCUACGGUUUACUUCCCCUUGGAGAAAAUGAAGAUAGCAGAGAAGGAAAGGAAAGUAAAAGUCAUAUAAAAGUGGGUCUGGAGUAAACAACAGACGAACUGAGCUAUUUUUGAAAGAACAUGACCACCUUCAAAAGUAGCUAUUAUUGAAUGUACAUGCAUGAUGUGGUUUUCCGUGUUUAUUGAUUCAUUGACUUAUAUAACAAACAUUUUAUGAUGUUUAUUAUAGUAAGUGCUUUAUCCAUGCUAAUUCAUUCUAUUCUCCU